Long non-coding RNA from Poecilia latipinna (sailfin molly), 119 nucleotides. RefSeq lists it as uncharacterized. Lineage: Eukaryota; Metazoa; Chordata; Actinopteri; Cyprinodontiformes; Poeciliidae. The record is from RefSeq and is a predicted model, not a curated record. The transcript has 3 exons.
AAAUAUCUAACAAAACAGGCAGGAAAAAAAAGGGUGUUUCUAUUGAAACGUAACUAUUUUUGCCUGCAAGUUUUGUUAUACAUUUGUCGAUAUAGAACCUUCUAGCCAAACCGAUGAAC